This 580-nucleotide ribosomal RNA is filed under the name Pseudomonas sp. Its description in RNAcentral is "bacterial SSU rRNA". It matches the Rfam family "Bacterial small subunit ribosomal RNA", at positions 84 to 660 of the family's 1533-position model. The record is from RNAcentral. Lineage: Bacteria; Pseudomonadati; Pseudomonadota; Gammaproteobacteria; Pseudomonadales; Pseudomonadaceae.
UUCUCUUGAGAGCGGCGGACGGGUGAGUAAUGCCUAGGAAUCUGCCUGGUAGUGGGGGAUAACGUUCGGAAACGAACGCUAAUACCGCAUACGUCCUACGGGAGAAAGCAGGGGACCUUCGGGCCUUGCGCUAUCAGAUGAGCCUAGGUCGGAUUACCUAGUUGGUGAGGUAAUGGCUCACCAAGGCGACGAUCCGUAACUGGUCUGAGAGGAUGAUCACUCACACUGGAACUGAGACACGGUCCAGACUCCUACGGGAGGCAGCAGUGGGGAAUAUUGGACAAUGGGCGAAAGCCUGAUCCAGCAAUGCCGCGUGUGUGAAGAAGGUCUUCGGAUUGUAAAGCACUUUAAGUUGGGAGGAAGGGCAGUUACCUAAUACGUGAUUGUUUUGACGUUACCGACAGAAUAAGCACCGGCUAACUCUGUGCCAGCAGCCGCGGUAAUACAGAGGGUGCAAGCGUUAAUCGGAAUUACUGGGCGUAAAGCGCGCGUACGUGGUUUGUUAAGUUGGAUGUGAAAUCCCCGGGCUCAACCUGGGAACUGCAUUCAAAACUGAGUGACUAUAGUAUGGUAGAGGGUG